UCGAGGAUCUUCGUCAAUGGGCGCAAGCCUGAACGAGCGACGCCGCGUGCGGGAUGAAGGCCUUCGGGUUGUAAACCGCUGUCGAGGGGGAGAAAGGCCCGCGAGGGCUUGAUCGAUCCCUGGAGGAAGGACGGGCUAAGUUCGUGCCAGCAGCCGCGGUAAGACGAACCGUCCUAACGUUGUUCGGAAUCACUGGGCUUAAAGGGCGCGUAGGCGGCCCUUCGAGUCGGGGGUGAAAUCCCACGGCCCAACCGUGGAAGGGCCUCCGAUACUGAAGGGCUCGAGGGAGGUAGGGGGCAGGUGGAACUUCCGGUGGAGCGGUGAAAUGCGUUGAUAUCGGAAGGAACGCCGGUGGCGAAAGCGACCUGCUGGACCUCUGCUGACGCUGAGGCGCGAAAGCCAGGGGAGCGAACGGGAUUAGAUACCCCGGUAGUCCUGGCCCUAAACGAUGGGUACUAGGUUGUGGACUGGUCAUGGGUUCACAGCCGAAGCAAAAAGUGUUAAGUACCCCGCCUGGGGAGUAUGGUCGCAAGG
RNAcentral lists this ribosomal RNA (534 nucleotides) under uncultured Planctomycetota bacterium. RNAcentral describes it as "bacterial SSU rRNA". It matches the Rfam family "Bacterial small subunit ribosomal RNA", at positions 355 to 893 of the family's 1533-position model. Lineage: Bacteria; Pseudomonadati; Planctomycetota. The record is from RNAcentral.